RNAcentral lists this ribosomal RNA (478 nucleotides) under uncultured bacterium. Its description in RNAcentral is "partial 16S ribosomal RNA". It matches the Rfam family "Bacterial small subunit ribosomal RNA", at positions 28 to 523 of the family's 1533-position model. The record is from RNAcentral.
GACGAACGCUGGCGGCGUGCUUAACACAUGCAAGUCGAACGGUAAGGCCCUUCGGGGUACACGAGUGGCGAACGGGUGAGUAACACGUGGGUGAUCUGCCCUGCACUUCGGGAUAAGCCUGGGAAACUGGGUCUAAUACCGGAUAGGACCACUGCCUGCAUGGGUGGUGGUGGAAGGCUUUUGCGGUGUGGGAUGGGCCCGCGGCCUAUCAGCUUGUUGGUGGGGUGAUGGCCUACCAAGGCGACGACGGGUAGCCGGCCUGAGAGGGGGACCGGCCACACUGGGACUGAGAUACGGCCCAGACUCCUAUGGGAGGCAGCAGUGGGGAAUAUUGCACAAUGGGCGCAAGCCUGAUGCAGCGACGCCGCGUGAGGGAUGACGGCCUUCGGGUUGUAAACCUCUUUCAGCACCGACGAAGCGCAAGUGACGGUAGGUGCAGAAGAAGGACCGGCCAACUACGUGCCAGCCGCCGCGGUAA